Molecule: non-coding RNA, 21 nt
Filed under: Rattus norvegicus (Norway rat)
Lineage: Eukaryota; Metazoa; Chordata; Mammalia; Rodentia; Muridae
Source: RNAcentral
UUAAGAGGUGAGUACGGAACA